GCGAGAGUGGUGAAACUGGUAGACACGCCAGACUUAGGAUCUGGUGCCUUCGGCAUAAGGGUUCAAGUCCCUUCUCUCGCA
RNAcentral lists this transfer RNA (81 nucleotides) under Spirochaetaceae bacterium. RNAcentral's name for it is "tRNA-Leu". It matches the Rfam family "tRNA". Rfam says of the family: Transfer RNA (tRNA) molecules are approximately 80 nucleotides in length. Their secondary structure includes four short double-helical elements and three loops (D, anti-codon, and T loops). Lineage: Bacteria; Pseudomonadati; Spirochaetota; Spirochaetia; Spirochaetales; Spirochaetaceae. RNAcentral also lists the same sequence under 1 other name. The record is from RNAcentral.